RNAcentral lists this transfer RNA (70 nucleotides) under Escherichia coli. RNAcentral's name for it is "tRNA-OTHER". It matches the Rfam family "tRNA". Rfam says of the family: Transfer RNA (tRNA) molecules are approximately 80 nucleotides in length. Their secondary structure includes four short double-helical elements and three loops (D, anti-codon, and T loops). Further hydrogen bonds mediate the characteristic L-shaped molecular structure. tRNAs have two regions of fundamental functional importance: the anti-codon, which is responsible for specific mRNA codon recognition, and the 3' end, to which the tRNAs corresponding amino acid is attached (by aminoacyl-tRNA synthetases). tRNAs cope with the degeneracy of the genetic code in two manners: having more than one tRNA (with a specific anti-codon) for a particular amino acid; and 'wobble' base-pairing, i.e. permitting non-standard base-pairing at the 3rd anti-codon position. Lineage: Bacteria; Pseudomonadati; Pseudomonadota; Gammaproteobacteria; Enterobacterales; Enterobacteriaceae. The record is from RNAcentral.
GCGGGAAUAGCUCAGUUGGUAGAGCACGACCGAGGUCGGGGUCGCGAGUUCGAGUCUCGUUUCCGCUCCA